This 442-nucleotide ribosomal RNA is filed under the name uncultured bacterium. RNAcentral describes it as "partial 16S ribosomal RNA". It matches the Rfam family "Bacterial small subunit ribosomal RNA", at positions 338 to 795 of the family's 1533-position model. The record is from RNAcentral.
CCUACGUGAGGCUGCAGUGGGGAAUAUUGGGCAAUGGGCGCACGCCUGACCCAGCAACGCCGCGUGAAGGAAGAAGGCUUUCGGGUUGUAAACUUCUUUUGUCAGGGAAGAGUAGAAGACGGUACCUGACGAAUAAGCCCCGGCUAAAUACGUGCCAGCAGCCGCGGUAAUACGUAGGUGGCAAGCGUUGUCCGGAUUUACUGGGUGUAAAGGGCGUGUAGCCGGGUUGACAAGUCAGAUGUGAAAUCCUGCGGCUUAACCGCAGAACUGCAUUUGAAACUGUUGAUCUUGAGUACUGGAGAGGCAGACGGAAUUCCUAGUGUGGCGGUGAAAUGCGUAGAUAUUAGGAGGAACACCAGUGGCGAAGGCGGUCUGCUGGACAGCAACUGACGGUGAGGCGCGAAAGCGUGGGGAGCAAACAGGAUUAGAUACCCUUGUAGUC